GGGUAAGUAGGUUGGUCGUGCCACCGGUACGUACUGGUCUCACUGAUUCCUCCUUCCUGAAGAACCGUAAUGCCAUUAAUUUGGUGUUGCGGGGAAACAGGACUGUUACUUUGAAAAAAUUAGAGUGUCUAAAGCAAGCUAGCGCUUGAAUACAUUAGCAUGGAAUAAUGAAAUAGGACGAUCGAUCCUAUUUUGUUGGUUUCUAGGAUUGACGUA
RNAcentral lists this ribosomal RNA (216 nucleotides) under Glomeromycotina sp. RNAcentral's name for it is "partial small subunit ribosomal RNA". The stretch from base 40 to 216 matches the Rfam family "Eukaryotic small subunit ribosomal RNA", at positions 686 to 864 of the family's 1831-position model. Lineage: Eukaryota; Fungi; Glomeromycota. The record is from RNAcentral.